AGUGAACGCUGGCGGUAGGCCUAACACAUGCAAGUCGAACGGCAGCACAGUAAGAGCUUGCUCUUACGGGUGGCGAGUGGCGGACGGGUGAGGAAUACAUCGGAAUCUACUUUUUCGUGGGGGAUAACGUAGGGAAACUUACGCUAAUACCGCAUACGACCUACGGGUGAAAGCAGGGGAUCUUCGGACCUUGCGCGAUUGAAUGAGCCGAUGUCGGAUUAGCUAGUUGGCGGGGUAAAGGCCCACCAAGGCGACGAUCCGUAGCUGGUCUGAGAGGAUGAUCAGCCACUCUAGAACUGAGACACGCCCCAGACUUCUACGGGAGGCAGCAGUGGGGAAUAGUGGACUAGGGGCGCAAGCCUGAUCCAGCCACACCGCGUGGGUGAAGAAGGCCUUCGUGUUGUAAAGCCCUUUUGUUGGGAAAGAAAAGCAGCAUGUUAAUACCCCGCUGUUCUGACUGUACCCAAAGAAUACGCACCGGCUAACCGCG
Molecule: ribosomal RNA, 490 nt
Filed under: uncultured bacterium
Lineage: Bacteria
Description: partial 16S ribosomal RNA
Rfam family: Bacterial small subunit ribosomal RNA
Source: RNAcentral